This 353-nucleotide ribosomal RNA is filed under the name Japonitata sp. BMNH 846545. RNAcentral's name for it is "partial 16S ribosomal RNA". The record is from RNAcentral. Lineage: Eukaryota; Metazoa; Arthropoda; Insecta; Coleoptera; Chrysomelidae.
UUGAAUGGCCGCAGUAUUUUGACUGUGCUAAGGUAGCAUAAUCAUUAGUUUUUUAAUUGAAAGCUGGUAUGAAGGGUUGGAUGAAAAAAAAACUGUCUCUAUUUAAUUUUUAUAGAAUUUUAUUUUUUAGUUAAAAAGCUAAAAUUUUAUUAAAAGACGAGAAGACCCUAUAGAGUUUUAUAUUUAUAUAUAUUAAUUUAAUUUUUUAAUAUAAUAUUUAUUUUAUUGGGGUGAUAGAAAAAUUUGAUAAACUUUUUUUUUAUUUUUAUAUUUAUAGAUAAUUAUUUGAUCCGAAUUAUUGAUUAAAAGAAAAAAUUACCUUAGGGAUAACAGCGUAAUUUUAUUGGAGAGUU